This 253-nucleotide ribosomal RNA is filed under the name uncultured bacterium. RNAcentral's name for it is "partial 16S ribosomal RNA". It matches the Rfam family "Bacterial small subunit ribosomal RNA", at positions 524 to 776 of the family's 1533-position model. The record is from RNAcentral.
UACGGAGGGUGCAAGCGUUAUCCGGAUUUAUUGGGUUUAAAGGGUGCGUAGGUGGGUCUGUAAGUCAGUGGUGAAAUCUCCGGGCUUAACCCGGAAACUGCCAUUGAUACUAUAGAUCUUGAAUAUCCUGGAGGUGAGCGGAAUAUGUCAUGUAGCGGUGAAAUGCUUAGAUAUGACAUAGAACACCAAUUGCGAAGGCAGCUCACUACGGGAUUAUUGACACUGAGGCACGAAAGCGUGGGGAUCAAACAGG